GAUGAAGAACGCAGCGAAAUGCGAUAAGUAAUGUGAAUUGCAGAAUUCAGUGAAUCAUCGAAUCUUUGAACGCACCUUGCACUCCUUGGUAUUCCGAGGAGUACGCCUGUUCGAGUGUUAUGAAGCUCUCAAAACGCAAUUGGCUUAAAACCUGAUUGUUGUUUUGGAUUUGAACUUUGCCGUGUUAUAACGGCUGGUUUUAAAAGUAUUAGCUGGUACUAGAACGAAUUGGUUCUACUCAACGUGAUAAUUAUCUGAUCGUUGAGGACAUUCCUUUCACGAGGAAUGGCCAUAGUAAAUUCAAUGGACUGCUUCUAGUCUGGCUUUAAUUCUUUAUUGGAUUAACCACUUUUCAAAUCUGACCUCGAAUCAGGUGGGACUACCCGCUGAACUUAAGCAUAUCAAUAAGCGGAGGA
This 416-nucleotide unclassified non-coding RNA is filed under the name soil metagenome. RNAcentral's name for it is "partial contains 5.8S ribosomal RNA, internal transcribed spacer 2, and large subunit ribosomal RNA". The stretch from base 1 to 120 matches the Rfam family "5.8S ribosomal RNA", at positions 35 to 154 of the family's 154-position model. The record is from RNAcentral.